GACGAACGCUGGCGGCGUGCCUAAUACAUGCAAGUAGAACGCUGAAGGAGGAGCUUGCUUCUCUGGAUGAGUUGCGAACGGGUGAGUAACGCGUAGGUAACCUGCCUGGUAGCGGGGGAUAACUAUUGGAAACGAUAGCUAAUACCGCAUAAGAGUAGAUGUUGCAUGACAUUUGCUUAAAAGGUGCAAUUGCAUCACUACCAGAUGGACCUGCGUUGUAUUAGCUAGUUGGUGAGGUAACGGCUCACCAAGGCGACGAUACAUAGCCGACCUGAGAGGGUGAUCGGCCCCACUGGGACUGAGACACGGCCCAGACUCCUACGGGAGGCAGCAGUAGGGAAUCUUCGGCAAUGGACGGAAGUCUGACCGAGCAACGCCGCGUGAGUGAAGAAGGUUUUCGGAUCGUAAAGCUCUGUUGUAAGAGAAGAACGAGUGUGAGAGUGGAAAGUUCACACUGUGACGGUAUCUUACCAGAAAGGGACGGCUAACUACGUG
This 495-nucleotide ribosomal RNA is filed under the name uncultured bacterium. RNAcentral's name for it is "partial 16S ribosomal RNA". It matches the Rfam family "Bacterial small subunit ribosomal RNA", at positions 28 to 507 of the family's 1533-position model. The record is from RNAcentral.